Chlorocebus sabaeus (green monkey) is the source of this 3510-nucleotide non-coding RNA. The record is from RefSeq and is a predicted model, not a curated record. NCBI's taxonomy places the organism in Eukaryota, Metazoa, Chordata, Mammalia, Primates, Cercopithecidae.
CCUGAAAGGGCCUGCUUGAAACAUACACGGCAGCAAAAUCACUGGGGUCCACAGGGUUUUUGUCACACACACAGAGCACAGAUUUUUUUGAUUAUGUAGAUUUCUUUUCCUACUGCAGUUUCAUAUGCAAAGCAUGCAUCAGCCACAUCCAUGCUAUCUCCUAAAGCAGUCAUUCUGAAACCCAAUCUGGGGACAGUGCAGACUAAAUAAAAUUUCAUUUUGAUUUGGCCUCCCGCUGCGAACGGGACUGCUUUGUCUCAGCCGACAGAACCAGCAAGGCAGAAAGGUGUGGAAUACUAAAAUACUGACUGAAAGGAGAAUUGUACAGGCGCUGCUGUGAUGCUCCAGAGAUUUCACUGGAAGAUUUGUCAUGCUGAUUUUAUUGUAAAUUUGAAGACGCAUUUAACAGCUUUGAAGGACCUUAGCUUCCAUGGUCCUUUUGAGCCGCUUUGGCAGAAAAGCAAUCGCCCAUUUUAGAGAAGGGGAGAAAUAGAGAAUAAAGACUCUCCUCCAAUAGGACUGAACGGUUUUGCCAUCUUGGUAUGUUUUAUAAAAUGCAUAGUGGUGUUUUCCCGAAGAGCUGCCAAAUAUGGCUCUGCUUUAAACAAUGACCUUCACUGGGAGUCAUCUCAUGAGAGACUGUUGUAUCAAAUGUUCCUCUUACACUUGUCCCCCCUUUGGGAGAAUGUACUAGCAAUCAGGGACAACCUGCUGUGAUAUUCUCAGAAGAAGCUUUAGAUAAGAUGGCGAAGCACCAGGGGACUGACAGGUGGUGGGAACUCAGUUUUCAAGCCCAAAUUUAUCCUUGAAAUUGUUAUUGCCCUUCACCAAUUCAUAGGGUGCUAUAAAGGAAAGCAGUUUUUUCCCUGGCUCACAUAUUGGCAUAUCAUUAAUCUAAAUCAAAUUACAGCAAACUGGUAAAGAUGGAGAUAGAGUAAACGACAAAUAAAUUGCUUAAGAGAAGAGCAGAAAGAAAAGUUCACUCUGACUCUGGGGUUCUGCCUAAGUAAUUCCACAUAGGAUAUAGAUUAGCAGAUGAAAAAUACCAAUUAGCUUCAUAGGGACCUCACCCCACCCAUCCAGAGCAAACACAAAAAAAGUCACGUCAUGUAACUUUGCAGAGGGUCAAAAAUUAACUGUUGCCAAUCCGUAAUGUUGUGGCCAUUCUAGAGUUUUGAGGGGAGUGGUGCUCCAGGGGUACUUCCAGAUGCCAUUUCUGAAAUGUAAUGGCUGAGGUCUUUGCCAUUACAAUAAAUUAUCCUUUCACCGCAAAGUCUCUCAGUUCACUAUUUUGCACCUGUUAGCCAAGCGCUGUGGGAGAGAAGAGUCACCAAGAGCGUUAGUCAUUUGUUGAUAGACUCCCUACUUACUACAUACAACAGAUUGAAGAACAAAAUGAAAGUUAGUUAAAGAAGACGUUGAAGAAACAAUAGUGUGAAAACAGCAUGAGAUGUCAUUUGGUAAAUAUGCCACAGCCUCGCAUAAGGAAGAGGAAAAUGGCAGUGUGGGCCAUGACUGGCAGGCCUGGAUCCAUAGACUGUGAUUUCCAGGAUCACCCAACAGAUGAAGACGUAUAUCCAGCUAGAAUCAUUUGUCCUUAAACCAGGUUAAGUUGCCGUCCAUGUCAGGACAGAGGUCAUGUACAGGUACAGUCAAAACUUAAAAUCUUGUAAAUUACAUAUAAAAUUAUUUGAAGCUCUUUAACACCUGAUAGCACCAAAUAAUACAUUCUUUGGAUAGCUUCACAGCAACAUUGCCUAUGGAGCAAAUUGGGGCAAUACACGGAAGAGGCAUUUUUUAUUUUAUUUUUUGAAAAGUGGUCCCUUCAUCCCUCUGGAAUAACUUUUAUUUAUUUAGGAACUCCUCAUUCUGGCUUUCUGAAUCUGAUGUGGAAGAUGGGCAUUGUUUGGACAUCACAGUUCUUUAGUAAAGGUGGUUUGGCCAAGCAAAAUCCCAGGCAAAUUCUGUUUUGAAUUCCCUUGGCCUCCACAGAAGCCAUCAAUUUCAGCUACCUUCUGUCUGGAUGUCCCUUGCCAACAAUUUGCUGCUUGAUCAUUGUUUCCAAUUGCUAAAGUGACCCUUAACUAUGGCUGCUAGAGAAUUCCCUGGUUCCCUCAAAUCGAUGGAGAAAUCCUAGAACAGUGGGAUUUUUUUGUUGUUUUUUUACUAGCCAUGUGCUCCGUGCAAAUUCUUUGAUUGUUGCAUGUUCUCGUGUCCUAAAUAGGUACUCUAGUACUCAGAAUGCUGGUGAUGUGACCUCAAAAAAGGAGGUGCGGCUGUGAAGACAAGAUGCUGUCUAUGAAGGCCUGCGGGGCCUGCCAAAGGCUAUCUUUUACAGCACCAGAGAGGAGCAGUUUUUUAGCUUUUGUUCACUGCCCAAAUGUUUUGGGAGAAAUCUGUGCUAGAGUGGCCAAAAAGGAAUAGAACCUACUCGCGUGUACAUUCGUUAGGUUAUAUUAUCUGAAAAACUAAGCAUAUUAUUUUAUAGAAUUAUCACCUCUAGCAAAGCCCAGCAAAGAAACUUCGACUCCUAUACCAAGAAUGGAAAAGAACGACCCCGAGAAGGGACAGCUUCAUCUACUUUUGCACUCAGGCUGGAGUGACUCUGCCCUGUUUUGUCUCCUCAGUUCUGCAGGCUCCUUAGCAGCCGUGGAGGAACGCCACAGGUGGUCUCACAAGUCCUGGACUCUGCCUCAGUGAAAAAUUGGAGAGAAGCUGCUUUUUGGUGGUUGUUUGAACUUUCCACGAAGAGAGUUCGGAUACAGCGUUUAUGUGUGUUAAAAAAGUUCGCAGCAUUUGCCCGCUUAGGAAUGUAUGCAUUCUCUCUACAUCUUUCUACAUCUAUUGCACGUCUUCCCCAUAGCAGGCACCAUUAAGACUCGGGGGGCCACGAAGUAUGUAUCUGGGAGCACUUGCCAGAACAGAGAGACAGACGGGCAAGCGUAUAAUUGAAAUACAAGGAGAUCAUGUUUGUAAUCGAGAUAUUAAGUGACUGCUAUGAGAGGACUGCUCAAUGAGCCACCAGCGAGCUCCCUGGGGGUCAGGUCACACCUCAGUGGAAUGUGAUAUUUGAGCUUCAGGUACUCUACGGUUUACAUACAGCUCGACCCCACCAAAUCUCAUGUUGAUAUGUGGUCCCCGUGUGCUGGUGGGGAAGGUGGGGCCCGGUGGGAAAUGUUUGGGUCAUUGACGGGGUUUCCUUUAUGAAUGGCCUGGAAUGGGUCUCAUGGUAGGGAGUUCUGCUCUCCUUAGACUGGAUUACUUCUCGUGAGAAUAAACUGAUUCCCCUGAGAGGGGGCUGUUAUAAAGCGAGGACCCCCUCGGAUUUUGCCCUUUCUUUGUUGACCUUCGUCCAUGCUACGACCCAGCACAAAAGCCCCCACCGGAAGCUGAGCAGAUGCUGGCACCAUGUCCCAUGAACUUCCCACCCCGUGGAACCAUGAGCUACAGAAAGCUCUCUUCUUUAUGAAUUACUCAGUUUCGGCCGGGCGCGGUGGCUCUCGCCUGUAA